GACAGAGGGUGCGAGCGUUGUCCGGAGUCACUGGGCGUAAAGCGCGCGCAGGCGGCAACCUAAGUGUCGUGUGAAAGCCCCCGGCUCAACCGGGGGAGGCCAUGGCAAACUGGGUCGCUCGAGCUGCGGAGAGGCCCCUCGAAUUGCCGGUGUAGCGGUGAAAUGCGUAGAGAUCGGCAGGAAGACCAAGGGGGAAGCCAGGGGGCUGGCCGCUGGCUGACGCUGAGGCGCGACAGCGUGGGGAGCGAACCGG
This 253-nucleotide ribosomal RNA is filed under the name uncultured bacterium. RNAcentral's name for it is "partial 16S ribosomal RNA". It matches the Rfam family "Bacterial small subunit ribosomal RNA", at positions 524 to 776 of the family's 1533-position model. The record is from RNAcentral.